Molecule: long non-coding RNA, 503 nt
Organism: Ailuropoda melanoleuca (giant panda)
Lineage: Eukaryota; Metazoa; Chordata; Mammalia; Carnivora; Ursidae
Exons: 3
Source: RefSeq, a predicted model, not a curated record
GGGCCCCGGCAGACCUCUUCUGCUUCUGCUCAGGAUCAGUUCUGGGGAGUCAGCUGACGCUGGUCCCGGCGACGUCGCCUAGCUGCACUACCUUAACUGCUUGCGUCAUGGCUUGACACAGUCCCCUGCUUGACGUGAGAGACUCCAUUUUGCUCUCUACAUUCUUAUGGUGAUUGGAGGACACACCUCAGCGAAACCAUGGAGGAAUCUUGAAGAACAAGAUUUAUUACUCACAAAGCUUGAGGGGAGCAUGGCGAGCACACUCAGAGGUCACACAGCAAGGUCACAGAUUUGGUGGCAGUGGUGGGAUCCAAAGUGAACUUCUGAUGGAAUCUGGGGACAGGCCCAGGCUCCAGGAACCCAUGUUCAAGUUCUCCGUCUUUCUCAGUGUUCCUGAGGGCCAUGGCCACUAACUACCAAGUAAAUGAUCUCCCUAAGACCGGAAUGUCAGAAAAGGAACGAAGAGAAUGACUGAUUUAAGAACUGUGAAUCCAGAGUCAUGG